RNAcentral lists this ribosomal RNA (728 nucleotides) under Fragilariopsis kerguelensis. Its description in RNAcentral is "partial Bacterial large subunit ribosomal RNA". It matches the Rfam family "Bacterial large subunit ribosomal RNA", at positions 410 to 1140 of the family's 2925-position model. The record is from RNAcentral. Lineage: Eukaryota; Bacillariophyta; Bacillariophyceae; Bacillariales; Bacillariaceae.
GAGUAGGGCGGAACACGUGAAAUUCUGUCUGAAGAUCGGAGGACCACCUUCGAAGGCUAAGUACUCCUGACUGACCGAUAGUGAACCAGUACCGUGAGGGAAAGGCGAAAAGAACCCCUGUGAGGGGAGUGAAAUAGAACCUGAAACCGUGUACGUACAAGCAGUAGGAGCAGACUUGUUCUGUGACUGCGUACCUUUUGUAUAAUGGGUCAGCGACUUAUAUUUUGUAGCGAGGUUAACCGAUUAGGGUAGCCGUAGGGAAACCGAGUCUUAACUGGGCGAAUAGUUGCAAGGUAUAGACCCGAAACCCGGUGAUCUAGCCAUGGGCAGGUUGAAGGUUGAGUAACAUCAACUGGAGGACCGAACCCACUAACGUUGAAAAGUUAGGGGAUGACCUGUGGCUAGGAGUGAAAGGCUAAUCAAACCCGGAGAUAGCUGGUUCUCCCCGAAAUCUAUUUAGGUAGAGCCUCGGACGAAUACUUACGGGGGUAGAGCACUGUUAAGGCUAGGGGGUCAUCCCGACUUACCAACCCUUUGCAAACUCCGAAUACCGUAAAGUACUAUCCGGGAGACACACGGCGGGUGCUAACGUCCGUCGUGAAGAGGGAAACAACCCAGACCGCCAGCUAAGGUCCCAAAGUCAUAGUUAAGUGGGAAACGAUGUGGAAAGGCCCAGACAGCCAGGAGGUUGGCUUAGAAGCAGCCAUCCUUUAAAGAGUGCGUAAUAG